GAUGAACGCUGGCGGCGUGCCUAAUACAUGCAAGUCGAGCGAACGGACGCGAAGCUUGCUUCUCUGAUGUUAGCGGCGGACGGGAGAGUCACACGUGGAUACCCUCCCUAUCAGACUGGGAUCACUUCGGGACACCGGCGCUAAUACCGGAUAAUCUUUUGAACCGCAUGGUUCAAAAGUGAAAGACGGUCUUGCUGUCACUUCUAGCUGGAUCCCGGCUGCAUUAGCUAGUUGGUACGGUAAAGGCUUACUAAGGCAACGAUGCAUAGCCGACCGGAGAGGGUGAUCGGCGACACGGGAACGGAGACACGGUCCAGACUCCUACGGGAGGCAGCAGUAGGGAAUCGUACGCAAUGGGCGAAAGUCUGACGGAGCAGCGCCGCGUGAGUGAUGAAGGUCUUCGGAGCGGAAAACUCGGUUAUGAGGGAAGAACAGAUGUGGAAGGAACUGUGGACAGCGUGACGGUACCUAAUCAGAAAGCCACGGCUAACUACGUG
RNAcentral lists this ribosomal RNA (497 nucleotides) under uncultured bacterium. RNAcentral describes it as "partial 16S ribosomal RNA". It matches the Rfam family "Bacterial small subunit ribosomal RNA", at positions 28 to 507 of the family's 1533-position model. The record is from RNAcentral.